RNAcentral lists this long non-coding RNA (1105 nucleotides) under Monodelphis domestica (gray short-tailed opossum). RNAcentral's name for it is "lncRNA (ENSMODG00000046499.1)". Lineage: Eukaryota; Metazoa; Chordata; Mammalia; Didelphimorphia; Didelphidae. The record is from RNAcentral.
UACAAAGCAAGAUAAGAAAGGAAAGAAAUAGCAAAACAAAUAGGUGAAAUUUGUAAGAGGCGAUUGUUGAGAGAAAGGAAGAGAAAGGAUGUCUGAGUGGCCUUCAAUUGGUGAAAAAUUAAAAAACAAAAAACCCUUGAGGAAAUGCUUGAGUAACUGAGAAAUAAAAGAGAAAAUUCCUAUCAGUGUGUGGAGCAGGGGAAAAGGUCCAUGAUGACUUACACUGUGAAAGUGACCGUACAGAAGAGUGGCUGCUGUCUGGGUUCCAAGUUGAGGCUGGUCUCCCAGGAGAAGAAUAGGUAAUGAUGGGGUUCCAGGGAUACCUUCCUAGACCACAGGUCAUUAGGGACAGUCAAUCAUUCUGAAGAGAAUGGGAGGCAUGCACCUGCUAUGGCCAUAUACUAAUUCCUUAAGACAGGUAGUGCUCAGGACUGGAAAAUGAGGGGCCAAUCUCUAGAGUAUAUGCUCUGCCUGUCAUCAAACCUGGGAGACCUGACUCUGAACAUGAGUGAUGGAACGCCUCUGCCCUCAGAUUCAGAGAAAGUCCAGAUAUCCCAUGGCUGUUUCCUAUCAACAUACUGUGUGUGGUGACAAAAAAAAAUUUUUUUAACUGUCUGCUAACCUGGAACUGAAUGUGCAUACAAAAGACUUGAACAGAUGCAAUCUCUCCAUCUCCCUCUGACUCCGUCUCUCUGUCUCUUGCCUCUAUCUUUUCCUCUCCCCCUCUUUCCCCUCUCUCCUCUGUCUCUCUUCCUCUCUAUUUCUCCCCCUCUUCCUUUCUCUUUCUCCCUCUAUCCCUCCCUCUCUUUUCUGCUUGUCUCUCUUCUUCUUCUUCUUCUUCUUCUUCUUCUUCUUCUUCUUCUUCUUCUUCUUCUUCUUCUUCUUCUUCUUCUUCUUCUUCUUCUUCUUCUUCUUCUUCUUCUUCUUCUUCUUCUUCUUCUUCUUCUUCUUCUUCUUCCUCUCCUCCUCCUUCCUUUCUCCUCCUCCUCCUUCCUCUCUCUCCUUCUCCUCCUCCUCCCUUUCUCCUCCUCCUCUCUCUCUCCUCCUCCUCCUUCUUUCUCUCUCUCCUUCUCUUCCUCUGAUUUUGUCUCUGUCUCUGUCUCCU